GGUUAAGCGACUAAGCGUACACGGUGGAUGCCCUGGCAGUCAGAGGCGAUGAAGGACGUGCUAAUCUGCGAAAAGCGUCGGUAAGGUGAUAUGAACCGUUAUAACCGGCGAUGUCCGAAUGGGGAAACCCAGUGUGAUUCGUCACACUAUCGUUAACUGAAUACAUAGGUUAACGAGGCGAACCGGGGGAACUGAAACAUCUAAGUACCCCGAGGAAAAGAAAUCAACCGAGAUUCCCCCAGUAGCGGCGAGCGAACGGGGAGCAGCCCAGAGUCUGAAUCAGCUUGUGUGUUAGUGGAACGGUCUGGAAAGUCCGACGGUACAGGGUGAUAGUCCCGUACACCAAAAUGCACAGGCUGUGAACUCGAAGAGUAGGGCGGGACACGUGGUAUCCUGUCUGAAUAUGGGGGGACCAUCCUCCAAGGCUAAAUACUCCUGACUGACCGAUAGUGAACCAGUACCGUGAGGGAAAGGCGAAAAGAACCCCGGCGAGGGGAGUGAAAAAGAACCUGAAACCGUGUACGUACAAGCAGUGGGAGCACCUUCGGGUGUGACUGCGUACCUUUUGUAUAAUGGGUCAGCGACUUAUAUUCUGUAGCAAGGUUAACCGUAUAGGGGAGCCGCAGGGAAACCGAGUCUUAACUGGGCGUUAAGUUGCAGGGUAUAGACCCGAAACCCGGUGAUCUAGCCAUGGGCAGGUUGAAGGUUGGGUAACACUAACUGGAGGACCGAACCGACUAAUGUUGAAAAAUUAGCGGAUGACUUGUGGCUGGGGGUGAAAGGCCAAUCAAACCGGGAGAUAGCUGGUUCUCCCCGAAAGCUAUUUAGGUAGCGCCUCGUGAAUUCAUCUUCGGGGGUAGAGCACUGUUUCGGCUAGGGGGUCAUCCCGACUUACCAACCCGAUGCAAACUACGAAUACCGAAGAAUGUUAUCACGGGAGACACACGGCGGGUGCUAACGUCCGUCGUGAAGAGGGAAACAACCCAGACCGCCAGCUAAGGUCCCAAAGUCAUGGUUAAGUGGGAAACGAUGUGGGAAGGCACAGACAGCCAGGAUGUUGGCUUAGAAGCAGCCAUCAUUUAAAGAAAGCGUAAUAGCUCACUGGUCGAGUCGGCCUGCGCGGAAGAUGUAACGGGGCUAAACCAUGCACCGAAGCUGCGGCAGCGACACUAUGUGUUGUUGGGUAGGGGAGCGUUCUGUAAGCCUGCGAAGGUGACCUGUGAGGGUUGCUGGAGGUAUCAGAAGUGCGAAUGCUGACAUAAGUAACGAUAAAGCGGGUGAAAAGCCCGCUCGCCGGAAGACCAAGGGUUCCUGUCCAACGUUAAUCGGGGCAGGGUGAGUCGACCCCUAAGGCGAGGCCGAAAGGCGUAGUCGAUGGGAAACAGGUUAAUAUUCCUGUACUUGGUGUUACUGCGAAGGGGGGACGGAGAAGGCUAUGUUAGCCGGGCGACGGUUGUCCCGGUUUAAGCAUGUAGGCUGGUUAUCCAGGCAAAUCCGGAUAAUCAAGGCUGAGGUGUGAUGACGAGGCACUACGGUGCUGAAGUAACAAAUGCCCUGCUUCCAGGAAAAGCCUCUAAGCAUCAGGUAACAUUAAAUCGUACCCCAAACCGACACAGGUGGUCAGGUAGAGAAUACCAAGGCGCUUGAGAGAACUCGGGUGAAGGAACUAGGCAAAAUGGUGCCGUAACUUCGGGAGAAGGCACGCUGGUGUGUAGGUGAAGUCCCUGCGGAUGGAGCUGAGACCAGUCGAAGAUACCAGCUGGCUGCAACUGUUUAUUAAAAACACAGCACUGUGCAAACACGAAAGUGGACGUAUACGGUGUGACGCCUGCCCGGUGCCGGAAGGUUAAUUGAUGGGGUUAUCCGUAAGGAGAAGCUCUUGAUCGAAGCCCCGGUAAACGGCGGCCGUAACUAUAACGGUCCUAAGGUAGCGAAAUUCCUUGUCGGGUAAGUUCCGACCUGCACGAAUGGCGUAAUGAUGGCCAGGCUGUCUCCACCCGAGACUCAGUGAAAUUGAACUCGCUGUGAAGAUGCAGUGUACCCGCGGCAAGACGGAAAGACCCCGUGAACCUUUACUAUAGCUUGACACUGAACAUUGAGCCUUGAUGUGUAGGAUAGGUGGGAGGCUUUGAAGCGUGGACGCCAGUCUGCGUGGAGCCAACCUUGAAAUACCACCCUUUAAUGUUUGAUGUUCUAACGUUGGCCCCUUAUCGGGGUUGCGGACAGUGUCUGGUGGGUAGUUUGACUGGGGCGGUCUCCUCCCAAAGCGUAACGGAGGAGCACGAAGGUUAGCUAAUCCUGGUCGGACAUCAGGAGGUUAGUGCAAUGGCAUAAGCUAGCUUGACUGCGAGCGUGACGGCGCGAGCAGGUGCGAAAGCAGGUCAUAGUGAUCCGGUGGUUCUGAAUGGAAGGGCCAUCGCUCAACGGAUAAAAGGUACUCCGGGGAUAACAGGCUGAUACCGCCCAAGAGUUCAUAUCGACGGCGGUGUUUGGCACCUCGAUGUCGGCUCAUCACAUCCUGGGGCUGAAGUAGGUCCCAAGGGUAUGGCUGUUCGCCAUUUAAAGUGGUACGCGAGCUGGGUUUAGAACGUCGUGAGACAGUUCGGUCCCUAUCUGCCGUGGGCGCUGGAGAAUUGAGGGGGGCUGCUCCUAGUACGAGAGGACCGGAGUGGACGCAUCACUGGUGUUCGGGUUGUCAUGCCAAUGGCACUGCCCGGUAGCUAAAUGCGGAAGAGAUAAGUGCUGAAAGCAUCUAAGCACGAAACUUGCCCCGAGAUGAGUUCUCCCUGAGACUUUAAGUCUCCUGAAGGAACGUU
This 2816-nucleotide ribosomal RNA is filed under the name Klebsiella pneumoniae. RNAcentral's name for it is "partial 23S ribosomal RNA". It matches the Rfam family "Bacterial large subunit ribosomal RNA". Lineage: Bacteria; Pseudomonadati; Pseudomonadota; Gammaproteobacteria; Enterobacterales; Enterobacteriaceae. The record is from RNAcentral.